CAGUCGCCGCGGUAAUACGGAGGAUCCGAGCGUUAUCCGGAAUUAUUGGGUUUAAAGGGUGCGUAGGCGGAUAGAUAAGUCAGUGGUGAAAGACGGUGGCUCAACCAUCGCAGUGCCGUUGAUACUGUUUAUCUUGAAUAUGGAUGAGGUAGGCGGAAUGUGGCAAGUAGCGGUGAAAUGCAUAGAUAUGCCACAGAACACCGAUUGCGAAGGCAGCUUACCAAGGCAAAAUUGACGCUGAGGCACGAAAGCGUGGGGAUCGAACAGGAUUAGAGACCCCUGUAGUCCCUGUCUCUUAUAC
This 301-nucleotide ribosomal RNA is filed under the name uncultured bacterium. Its description in RNAcentral is "partial 16S ribosomal RNA". It matches the Rfam family "Bacterial small subunit ribosomal RNA", at positions 509 to 807 of the family's 1533-position model. The record is from RNAcentral.